GGAGCUUGAGAAAAUUCGUCAAAGGUGACCAUAUCAUAGACUUCAAACUUCAUUGAAAAUUAUUUGUCCUAAUUAGGUUGCCUUGGACACUUUGGUUAUCAGUUUCUUCCAUUACUGUACUUUCAUUGUAGCAAUCAGUUCAUAGUUUUAUGAAGUUUACGAUGUGCUUGGUACACAAGCUUAGCCACACCUCUGCCUCUCAUACUUCCUUGUCCCAUGUUCCAUUUUGUUCCCUACUUUUUUUUGCUGGUGGCAUAAUAAGAUGAUUCAUCAUGUGAUGCGCUUGUGAAUGUGGCUUUGAUGAUAUCUGUGCUUAACAGAGAAGCGGAUAUGACAAAGGAA
Molecule: unclassified non-coding RNA, 342 nt
Filed under: Hevea brasiliensis (rubber tree)
Lineage: Eukaryota; Viridiplantae; Streptophyta; Magnoliopsida; Malpighiales; Euphorbiaceae
Source: RNAcentral